GGUGAACGCUGGCGGCGUGCUUAAGACAUGCAAGUCGAACGCAGUCUUCGGACUGAGUGGCGCACGGGUGAGUAACACGUAACUGACCUACCCCCAAGUCGCGGAUAACUGGCCGAAAGGUCAGCUAAUACGUGAUGUGAUGUCCCCUUUCUGGGGGGCCAUUAAAGGUUUACUGCUUGGGGAUGGGGUUGCGAUUCCAUCAGCUAGUUGGCGGGGUAAAGGCCCACCAAGGCAACGACGGAUAGCCGGCCUGAGAGGGUGGCCGGCCACAGGGGGACUGGGACACGGGUCCCACUCCUACGGGAGGCAGCAGUUAGGGAUCUUCUACAAUGGGCGAAAGCCUGAUGGAGCGACGCCGCGUGAGGGAUGAAGGUUCUCGGAUCGUAAACCUCUGAAUCAGGGACGAAAGACGCGUAAGCGGGAUGACGGUACCUGAGUAAUAGCACCGGCUAACUCCGUGCCAGCCGCCGCCGUAA
This 476-nucleotide ribosomal RNA is filed under the name uncultured bacterium. RNAcentral's name for it is "partial 16S ribosomal RNA". It matches the Rfam family "Bacterial small subunit ribosomal RNA", at positions 28 to 523 of the family's 1533-position model. The record is from RNAcentral.